Molecule: long non-coding RNA, 581 nt
Organism: Oncorhynchus kisutch (coho salmon)
Lineage: Eukaryota; Metazoa; Chordata; Actinopteri; Salmoniformes; Salmonidae
Exons: 2
Source: RefSeq, a predicted model, not a curated record
GUCCCGACGGCCACGUUGGAAACCACCGCAUUACUUCUUCAGACAACAAUAACUGAGUGGCUAACCCAAACUGCAUGAUAACAUCAAAUGGAGUACUUGGCUUCUCUAACAAGACAGGAAAGACAACAGGAAAAAAAUAUGUUUACAGAUUCCCCGCAAUCAUGAAACCCCAUUGGUGACACCAAGGUUUACCAGCUGACCUCAAGGCACCCAUGUCAACUGGCUUACCACUGAAGAUGAGCAAUGCUGCAGUAGCAUCAGUUUCUACUUCACCAUUUUCCAGAUAUGAAAGGAGACAUCCCUCAAUUAUACAAUAUGGUUGUUAUAUGCUUUGCUUUGAUCAAUUUAAAAUAUUCAGUUGUGCCAUUUGAGUAGAGCACCUUCACCUUGUCAUCAUAGAAAAAGUGCCCUCUUACACCAUAUUAAUAUAUAAAAUGUCAUUUGGAAGGUGUAAAAAAAAACAACUAUUGUUUACAAUAUUGUACUUUAAUAACAGGCUACGUUGUUGUAUGGGUGAAAUAAAGUAUUGUCAUCUCUGCGUUGCCUAGCCCCAUUGAAUAAAACAUUCUUAUACCAACUAA